Leopardus geoffroyi (Geoffroy's cat) is the source of this 805-nucleotide long non-coding RNA. RefSeq lists it as uncharacterized. The transcript is spliced from 4 exons. The record is from RefSeq and is a predicted model, not a curated record. NCBI's taxonomy places the organism in Eukaryota, Metazoa, Chordata, Mammalia, Carnivora, Felidae.
CAGUGGUUCAUCCAAGCAACUAUAAGGAAUUCAUUAUAAUUCAGGAAUAGAGCAUCAGGUUGGAGGAAGGGGAGAAAAGAGAUAUCAUUAAGAACUACUCUGUAAUCCAAGGUAGGGAGUUUGAACUUCAUGACAAAGGCUCCAGAAGCCAGUGGAGGGGUUAACUAGGGAUAUAAGGUUAUUUGCACUUUAAGAAGGUCAUUUUGGAAGAAGUUUGAAGAAUGGCCUGGAAAGGAGGAACCUGGGGGGCCAGACCAGGAAUUGGGAUACUAUAGUGUAAACCAGGUCUGUGGUUCUUAAACCUAAACAUGCAUCAGAAUCACCUGGAAAUCUUGUUAAGACACAGGUUGCUGGGUUCUACUCUGGACAUAAUGACAGAGGUCACGCAGUAUGGAUGCGUUGCUCUGCUGCUGGAGACCCGAGCACUGAUUUGACCAGUAUCAUCAGAUAUAUCCUGCACAGCACUGUUGGCAACAACAAUGGCGUAAUGCAGAUACCGUGGCUUUAGGAGGUGUGGUUGGUAAUGGAUGGACUUGGAUUUGGAACUGUCUCAAAGAUUUACUUUGGAUCCUCUGUGAUGUUUCAAGCCCUUCGUUUUGGCAAGCCUGUCAUUUGCCAGUUGUCAAAUAGGUUGAGUCAUUAGUCUGGCCUUGUCAUCUGGGAGCCUCCAAAUGAUUGAUAUGGUUUUGCUACACUUCCCAACGGGAUAAUUAAGUGCCCACUCAGCUCUGUCUACCUGUUUUUGUGAAAAGUAAAAUGAAAUAAAAAAUUACGUUAUUCUUUUUUUUUUCUACCUGUGAAAGCA